RNAcentral lists this ribosomal RNA (1477 nucleotides) under uncultured Actinomycetes bacterium. RNAcentral describes it as "uncultured actinobacterium 16S ribosomal RNA". It matches the Rfam family "Bacterial small subunit ribosomal RNA". The record is from RNAcentral. Lineage: Bacteria; Bacillati; Actinomycetota; Actinomycetes.
AGAGUUUGAUCCUGGCUCAAGACGAACGCUGGCGGCGUGCUUAACACAUGCAAGUCGAACGAUGAAGGGGAGCUUGCUCCCUGGAUUAGUGGCGAACGGGUGAGUAACACGUGAGCAACCUGCCCCUAACUCUGGUAUAACGCUUCGAAAGGAGUGCUAAUACCGGAUAUGAGCCUGGAAGACAUCUUCUGGGUUGGAAAGUUUUUCGGUUAGGGAUGGGCUCGCGGCCUAUCAGCUUGUUGGUGAGGUAAAGGCUCACCAAGGCGACGACGGGUAUCCGGCCUGAGAGGGCGACCGGACACACUGGGACUGAGACACGGCCCAGACUCCUACGGGAGGCAGCAGUGGGGAAUAUUGCGCAAUGGGCGAAAGCCUGACGCAGCGACGCCGCGUGAGGGAUGAAGGUCUUCGGAUUGUAAACCUCUUUCAGCAGGGACGAAGCGAAAGUGACGGUACCUGAAGAAGAAGCACCGGCUAACUACGUGCCAGCAGCCGCGGUAAUACGUAGGGUGCAAGCGUUGUCCGGAUUUAUUGGGCGUAAAGAGCUCGUAGGCGGUUAGACACGUCGGAUGUGAAACUGGGGGCUCAACCCCCAGCCUGCAUUCGAUACGGUCUGACUAGAGUGUGGUAGGGGUAACUGGAAUUCCUGGUGUAGCGGUGAAAUGCGCAGAUAUCAGGAGAACACCGAUGGCGAAGGCAGGUUACUGGGCCACCACUGACGCUGAGGAGCGAAAGCGUGGGGAGCAAACAGGAUUAGAUACCCUGGUAGUCCACGCCGUAAACGGUGGGCGCUAGAUGUGGGGACCAUUCCAUGGUUUCUGCGUCGCAGCUAACGCAUUAAGCGCCCCGCCUGGGGAGUACGGUCGCAAGACUAAAACUCAAAGGAAUUGACGGGGGCCCGCACAAGCAGCGGAGCAUGCGGCUUAAUUCGAUGCAACGCGAAGAACCUUACCUAGGCUUGACAUAUAGAGAAAUCCCACAGAGAUGUGGAGUCCGUAAGGGCUCUAUACAGGUGGUGCAUGGUUGUCGUCAGCUCGUGUCGUGAGAUGUUGGGUUAAGUCCCGCAACGAGCGCAACCCUCGUUCUAUGUUGCCAGCGCGUAGUGGCGGGGACUCAUAGGAGACUGCCGGGGUCAACUCGGAGGAAGGUGGGGAUGACGUCAAAUCAUCAUGCCCCUUAUGCCUAGGGCUGCACGCAUGCUACAAUGGCCGAUACAAAGGGCUGCGAUACCGCAAGGUGGAGCGAAUCCCAUAAAGUCGGUCUCAGUUCGGACUGGGGUCUGCAACUCGACCCCAUGAAGUUGGAGUUGCUAGUAAUCGCAGAUCAGCAACGCUGCGGUGAAUACGUUCCCGGGCCUUGUACACACCGCCCGUCACGUCACGAAAGUCGGUAACACCCGAAGCCGGUGGCCUAACCGUAAGGAAGGAGCCGUCGAAGGUGGGAUCGGUGAUUGGGACGAAGUCGUAACAAGGUAGCC